RNAcentral lists this ribosomal RNA (468 nucleotides) under uncultured bacterium. RNAcentral's name for it is "partial 16S ribosomal RNA". It matches the Rfam family "Bacterial small subunit ribosomal RNA", at positions 28 to 507 of the family's 1533-position model. The record is from RNAcentral.
GACGAACGCUGGCGGCGUGCUUAACACAUGCAAGUCGAACGGAAAGGCCCUGCUUUUGUGGGGUGCUCGAGUGGCGAACGGGUGAGUAACACGUGAGUAACCUGCCCUUGACUUUGGGAUAACUUCAGGAAACUGGGGCUAAUACCGGAUAGGAGCUCCUGCUCCAGGGUGGGGGUUGGAAAGUUUCGGCCGUUGGGGAUGGACUCGCGGCUUAUCAGCUUGUUGGUGGGGUAGUGGCUUGCCAAGGCUUAGACGGGUAGCCGGCCUGGGAGGGUGACCGGCGACAUUGGGCCUACGGUAGGGACCAGACUCGUACGGUAGGCAGCAGUGGCGAAUCUUGCACAGUGGGACGAAGCCUGAUGCAGAAACGCCGCGUGCGGGAUGACGGCCUUUGGGUUGUAAACAGCUUUAGCCUGUGACCAAGCGUGAGUGACGGUAAUGGGUAAAGAAGCACCGGCUAACUACGUG